CACGGGUGAGUAACACGUAUCCAACCUGCCGUCUACUCUUGGACAGCCUUCUGAAAGGAAGAUUAAUACAAGAUGGCAUCAUGAGUUCACAUGUUCACAUGAUUAAAGGUAUUCCGGUAGACGAUGGGGAUGCGUUCCAUUAGAUAGUAGGCGGGGUAACGGCCCACCUAGUCUUCGAUGGAUAGGGGUUCUGAGAGGAAGGCCCCCCACAUUGGAACUGAGACACGGUCCAA
Molecule: ribosomal RNA, 233 nt
Filed under: uncultured bacterium
Lineage: Bacteria
Description: partial 16S ribosomal RNA
Rfam family: Bacterial small subunit ribosomal RNA
Source: RNAcentral